GCUANUUGACUAGUGUACUCCCCUAUUUUCUUUGGUUCCUUGGAUUCUAACAUAUACAAACUCUAUUCUUUAGCAAUUAAAAUGGUCUUCCUUGUGAUAAAGUCCUGAAAGACAUGGUAAGAGGAGAAAAACACUAAUAAAAGUUCAAGUCUUUUGUAAGGAUUUGUAUAGAGAUAAGACUAUUGGUCAGUGUUGGGACAUAUAAAAGACCCUAUAAUUUAAUAAAUGAUUCUAACAUUAUAUUCCUGAUUCAGCAUAUGUAUGCUAUCACCAUUUACAAAUGUAAUGAGUUGUUUUCUAUUCGUUUUAACGUAUGAAUUGAAAAAAUAAGAAACAGUCAUUUGAUGAAUGGUUCUUUAAUCAAGUAUCCAAACACCCU
Molecule: long non-coding RNA, 379 nt
Filed under: Vigna radiata
Lineage: Eukaryota; Viridiplantae; Streptophyta; Magnoliopsida; Fabales; Fabaceae
Description: long non-coding RNA (VRAD_LNC000952)
Source: RNAcentral